This 256-nucleotide ribosomal RNA is filed under the name uncultured bacterium. RNAcentral describes it as "partial 16S ribosomal RNA". It matches the Rfam family "Bacterial small subunit ribosomal RNA", at positions 524 to 776 of the family's 1533-position model. The record is from RNAcentral.
UACGUAGGGUGCAAGCGUUGUCCGGAAUUAUUGGGCGUAAAGAGCUCGUAGGCGGUUUGUCGCGUCUGCUGUGAAAACCCGAGGCUCAACCUCGGGCCUGCAGUGGGUACGGGCAGACUAGAGUGCGGUAGGGGGAGAUUGGAAUUCCUGGUGUAGCGGUGGAAUGCGCAGAUAUCAGGAGGAACACCCAAUGGCGAAGGCAGAUCUCUGGGCCGUAACUGACGCUGAGGAGCGAAAGCAUGGGGGAGCGAACAGG